AUGAGAAGUCUGACGGAGCACGCCGCGUGAGUGAUGAAGGUUUUCGGAUCGUAAAGCUCUGUUGUUAGGGAAGAACAAGUGCGAGAGUAACUGCUCGCACCUUGACGGUACCUAACCAGAAAGCCACGGCUAACUACGUGCCAGCAGCCGCGGUAAUACGUAGGUGGCAAGCGUUGUCCGGAAUUAUUGGGCGUAAAGGGCUCGCAGGCGGUUUCUUAAGUCUGAUGUGAAAGCCCCCGGCUCAACCGGGGAGGGUCAUUGGAAACUGGGAAACUUGAGUGCAGAAGAGGAGAGUGGAAUUCCACGUGUAGCGGUGAAAUGCGUAGAGAUGUGGAGGAACACCAGUGGCGAAGGCGACUCUCUGGUCUGUAACUGACGCUGAGGAGCGAAAGCGUGGGGAGCGAACAGGAUUAGAUACCCUGGUAGUCCACGCCGUAAACGAUGAGUGCUAAGUGUUAGGGGGUUUCCGCCCCUUAGUGCUGCAGCUAACGCAUUAAGCACUCCGCCUGGGGAGUACGGUCGCAAGACUGAAACUCAAAGGAAUUGACGGGGGCCCGCACAAGCGGUGGAGCAUGUGGUUUAAUUCGAAGCAACGCGAAGAACCUUACCAGGUCUUGACAUCCUCUGACAACCCUAGAGAUAGGGCUUUCCCUUCGGGGACAGAGUGACAGGUGGUGCAUGGUUGUCGUCAGCUCGUGUCGUGAGAUGUUGGGUUAAGUCCCGCAACGAGCGCAACCCUUGAUCUUAGUUGCAGCAUUCAGUUGGGCACUUUAAGGUGACUGCCGGUGACAACCGAGAGGUGGGAUGACGUCAAUCAUCAUGCCCUUAUGACUGGCU
This 837-nucleotide ribosomal RNA is filed under the name Bacillus sp. MAN11. RNAcentral's name for it is "bacterial SSU rRNA". It matches the Rfam family "Bacterial small subunit ribosomal RNA", at positions 375 to 1215 of the family's 1533-position model. The record is from RNAcentral. Lineage: Bacteria; Bacillati; Bacillota; Bacilli; Caryophanales; Bacillaceae.